UCAGUUGAUGACAUAUUGGAUACACCUGCUGUGGGGUGUACACAGAUUGUUAAUGUCCUGAUAAUCUUUGCAUUUCUGAAACCUCAUCAGGUUGGCCUUUUGCAAAACUGAAAGAUCUGACCUGGCAGUUGUAAAAACUAUCCUGACAUCCAUUUAUCCUGCUUUUUCAGGGGUCAAAAGAAGUGGAGACAACCCCAGCUGUCAUUGAGUGAGAGGCAGGGUGCACCUGAACAAAUAGAGAGAAAAACAAUCAUUCACACUCACAUUUUGCCUUUUUUUCAAGGAUAUUUUUGCACUUUUUGCCUUUCUUUGAUAGGAAGGCUGGAGAAAUAGAGGGAACCACAUGCACUAAACCAUUUCAAGUCCUGCAAACGAGAUCUGCAAUCUCUGCGCAUGGGGCGCACGCUCUUACAAAUGAGCUGGACCAGCAACACAUUCACACUCACAUCUGUGAGUAAUUCUGAGUUACUGGUAAACCUAACAAGUAUGUCUUUGGACUGUAGGAGGAAGCUGGGGAACUUUCACAUGCAGGAGGAGAACAUGCAAGCUCAGUUCAGAAAGGCGUGUGCACAGCUGGGAAUCCUCAGCAGGGGGGCCUUACUGUUGUGGAGCAAGAAAGUACAGACUUCUCAUGCAGUCUGUUGUGAAUACAUAAGGUGUGUUUCUUUGUAGAUUAGCUGGAAAACGUCAAUUGUUAAGAAAUUCACAAUUUCAUGUGUUUGAAUAAAACAUGUAAGCAAACUCUUG
Xyrichtys novacula (pearly razorfish) is the source of this 747-nucleotide non-coding RNA. NCBI's taxonomy places the organism in Eukaryota, Metazoa, Chordata, Actinopteri, Labriformes, Labridae. The record is from the annotation of a GenBank genome assembly.